This 29-nucleotide non-coding RNA is filed under the name Xenopus tropicalis (tropical clawed frog). RNAcentral also lists the same sequence under 3 other names. The record is from RNAcentral. Lineage: Eukaryota; Metazoa; Chordata; Amphibia; Anura; Pipidae.
GGCUAAGAUCAAGUGUAGUAUCUGUUCUU